CUCCCAGAGAGGGGCUGGGGCGUGGCUCAGCAGUUGAAGACCCCUCCGUCACUGGAUGCGUCUGCCUAUGUGGGAGUGUUGGUGCCUUUUCUGUGUAGGUGUGUCUGCCUGCCCCUUUUCUCAUCUUCCAAUCCUUCAGUAUCUCUCCUCCAACCUGCACUAACCAUUUCUGUCUGGACCGCACUCUGGAUGGAAGGGAUCAAAUCCGGACUACAGCUCUGUUGGGAGAGCGGAGCUGCAGCGGGGGCUGCCUAGAGUCAUGGCAGUGGGGAGGGGGAGGGGGUUGCUAAGGCCCAGAUUUACAUUUUGUUCCUUCCCCACUCUGCUAGGGUCACAGACGAACCUGAGAGAAUCGGGGGACCUGAGGUCACAAGUUGCCAUCUACCUUGGGAUAAAGCGGAAACCGCCCCCAGGCUGCUCAGAUUCCCCUGGAGUGUGAAACUGACCAGCUCUCGACCUCCUGAGGCCCUGAUGGCUGCCCUGCGACAGGCCACAGCGGCCGC
RNAcentral lists this long non-coding RNA (503 nucleotides) under Rattus norvegicus (Norway rat). RNAcentral describes it as "long non-coding RNA NONRATT002359". Lineage: Eukaryota; Metazoa; Chordata; Mammalia; Rodentia; Muridae. The record is from RNAcentral.